Molecule: ribosomal RNA, 68 nt
Filed under: Vibrio cholerae O1 biovar El Tor
Lineage: Bacteria; Pseudomonadati; Pseudomonadota; Gammaproteobacteria; Vibrionales; Vibrionaceae
Description: partial 16S ribosomal RNA
Rfam family: Bacterial small subunit ribosomal RNA
Source: RNAcentral
UUAAUUGAAGAGUUUGAUCAUGGCUCAGAUUGAACGCUGGCGGCAGGCCUAACACAUGCAAGUCGAGC